RNAcentral lists this ribosomal RNA (1089 nucleotides) under uncultured bacterium. Its description in RNAcentral is "bacterial SSU rRNA". It matches the Rfam family "Bacterial small subunit ribosomal RNA", at positions 235 to 1354 of the family's 1533-position model. The record is from RNAcentral.
GGUCCAUCAGCUAGUUGGUGAGGUAAAGGCUCACCAAGGCGAUGACGGAUAGGGGAUCUGAGAGGGUGGCCCCCCACACUGGGACUGAGACACGGCCCAGACUCCUACGGGAGGCAGCAGUAAGGGAUACUGCACAAUGGGCGGAAGCCUGAUGCAGCGACGCCGCGUGGGCGAAGAAGGUUUUCGGAUCGUAAAGCCCUUUUCUAGGUGACGAGGAAGGACGGUAGCCUAGGAAUAAGUGUCGGCUAACUACGUGCCAGCAGCCGCGGUAAAACGUAGGACGCGAACGUUAUCCGGAGUUACUGGGCGUAAAGCGCGCGCAGGCGGUGUCAUAAGUUACCCAUGAAAGGCACUGGCUAAACUGGUGUAAGUUGGGUGAAACUGUGGCACUAGAGAGGAAUAGAGGGAAGCGGAAUUCCGGGUGUAGUGGUGAAAUGCGUAGAUAUCCGGAGGAAUACCGGUGGCGAAGGCGGCUUCCUGGAUUUCAACUGACGCUGAGGCGCGAAAGCGUGGGUAGCGAACGGGAUUAGAAACCCCGGUAGUCCACGCCGUAAACGAUGCACAUUAGAUGUUCGGUCAUGUUAAGUGAUUGAGUGUUACAGCAAACGCGAUAAAUGCGCCGCCUGGGGAGUACGGUCGCAAGGCUAAAACUCAAAGGAAUUGACGGGGGCCCGCACAAGCAGCGGAGCGUGUGGUUUAAUUCGAGGCUACGCGAAGAACCUUACCUGGGUUUGACAUGGUGGUAGUACGGAAGCGAAAGCGGAAGGACCUUCGGGAGCCAUCACAGGUGCUGCAUGGUUGUCGUCAGCUCGUGCCGUGAGGUGUUCGGUUAAGUCCGCAAACGAGCGCAACCCUCGGUGCUAGUUACAAGUGUCUAGCAUGACUGCCCAUGACAAAUGGGAGGAAGGUGGGGAUGAUGUCAAAUCAGCAUGGCCUUUAUAUCCAGGGCGACACACACGCUACAAUGGUCGGUACAAUGGGUGGCGAAGCCGCGAGGUGGAGCGAAUCCUAAAAAGUCGGUCUCAGUUCGGAUUGCAGGCUGCAACUCGCCUGCAUGAAGUCGGAGUUGCUAGUAACCGCAAAUCAGCA